GGUGCCAUCGUCUAAUGGUUAGGACACAAGGUUUUCAUCCUUGCAAUCGGGGUUCAAUUCCCCGUGGCACUA
This 72-nucleotide transfer RNA is filed under the name Leptospira sp. RNAcentral describes it as "tRNA-Glu". It matches the Rfam family "tRNA". Rfam says of the family: Transfer RNA (tRNA) molecules are approximately 80 nucleotides in length. Their secondary structure includes four short double-helical elements and three loops (D, anti-codon, and T loops). Further hydrogen bonds mediate the characteristic L-shaped molecular structure. tRNAs have two regions of fundamental functional importance: the anti-codon, which is responsible for specific mRNA codon recognition, and the 3' end, to which the tRNAs corresponding amino acid is attached (by aminoacyl-tRNA synthetases). tRNAs cope with the degeneracy of the genetic code in two manners: having more than one tRNA (with a specific anti-codon) for a particular amino acid; and 'wobble' base-pairing, i.e. permitting non-standard base-pairing at the 3rd anti-codon position. Lineage: Bacteria; Pseudomonadati; Spirochaetota; Leptospiria; Leptospirales; Leptospiraceae. The record is from RNAcentral. RNAcentral also lists the same sequence under 3 other names.